UAAGAAUCUACAACAAUCUUGUGAGAAAU
This 29-nucleotide non-coding RNA is filed under the name Rattus norvegicus (Norway rat). Lineage: Eukaryota; Metazoa; Chordata; Mammalia; Rodentia; Muridae. The record is from RNAcentral.